Molecule: ribosomal RNA, 518 nt
Filed under: Actinomyces sp.
Lineage: Bacteria; Bacillati; Actinomycetota; Actinomycetes; Actinomycetales; Actinomycetaceae
Description: bacterial SSU rRNA
Rfam family: Bacterial small subunit ribosomal RNA
Source: RNAcentral
GCGAACGGGUGAGUAACACGUGAGUAACCUGCCCUCAACAUUUGAAUAACUCCAUGAAAGUGGGGCUAAUGCAAUAUAUUCUGCAGUCAUCGCAUGGUGGUUGUGGGAAACGGUUUUUUCUGGUUGGGGAUGGGCUCGCGGCCUAUCAGCUUGUUGGUGGGGUGAUGGCCUACCAAGGCGGUGACGGGUAGCCGGCCUGAGAGGGUGGACGGCCACACUGGGACUGAGAUACGGCCCAGACUCCUACGGGAGGCAGCAGUGGGGGAUUUUGCACAAUGGGCGCAAGCCUGAUGCAGCGACGCCGCGUGAGGGAUGACGGCCUUCGGGUUGUAAACCUCUUUCGCUAGGUUGGAAGACGCUUUUUGGAGUUGUUGACUUUAACUGGUAAAGAAGUACCGGCUAACUACGUGCCAGCAGCCGCGGUAAUACGUAGGGUACUAGCGUUGUCCGGAAUUAUUGGGCGUAAAGGGCUUGUAGGUGGUUUGUCGCGUCUGUCGUGAAAACCCGGGGCUUAACUC